This 482-nucleotide ribosomal RNA is filed under the name uncultured bacterium. RNAcentral describes it as "partial 16S ribosomal RNA". It matches the Rfam family "Bacterial small subunit ribosomal RNA", at positions 30 to 507 of the family's 1533-position model. The record is from RNAcentral.
AUUGAACGCUGGCGGCAUGAUUUACACAUGCAAGUCGAACGGUAACAGGCCGCAAGGUGCUGACGAGUGGCGAACGGGUGCGUAAUGCAUCGGAACGUGCCCAGUCGUGGGGGAUAACUACUCGAAAGAGUAGCUAAUACCGCAUACGAUCUAUGGAUGAAAGCGGGGGACCGUAAGGCCUCGCGCGAUUGGAGCGACCGAUGUCAGAUUAGGUAGUUGGUGGGGUAAAGGCUCACCAAGCCAACGAUCUGUAGCUGGUCUGAGAGGACGACCAGCCACACUGGGACUGAGACACGGCCCAGACUCCUACGGGAGGCAGCAGUGGGGAAUUUUGGACAAUGGGCGCAAGCCUGAUCCAGCAAUGCCGCGUGCAGGAAGAAGGCCUUCGGGUUGUAAACUGCUUUUGUACGGAACGAAACGGCUCUGGUUAAUACCCGGGGCUAAUGACGGUACCGUAAGAAUAAGCACCGGCUAACUACGUG